RNAcentral lists this ribosomal RNA (514 nucleotides) under uncultured bacterium. RNAcentral's name for it is "bacterial SSU rRNA". It matches the Rfam family "Bacterial small subunit ribosomal RNA", at positions 791 to 1304 of the family's 1533-position model. The record is from RNAcentral.
UAGUCCACGCCGUAAACGAUGAGUGCUAGGUGUCAGGACGUCAAGUUUUGGUGCCGCAGCUAACGCGUUAAGCACUCCGCCUGGGGAGUACGGUCGCAAGAUUAAAACUCAAAGGAAUUGACGGGGACCCGCACAAGCGGUGGAGCAUGUGGUUUAAUUCGAGGCAACGCGAAGAACCUUACCAGCCCUUGACAUCCCGGUCGGGAGUAGCAGAGAUGCUUCUCUUCGGUUAGGCCGGACCGGUGACAGGUGCUGCAUGGUUGUCGUCAGCUCGUGUCGUGAGAUGUUGGGUUAAGUCCCGCAACGAGCGCAACCCUCGUCCUUAGUUACCAGCAGUUCGGCUGGGUACUCUAAGGAAACUGCCGGUGAUAAACCGGAGGAAGGUGGGGAUGACGUCAAAUCAUCAUGGCCCUUACGGGCUGGGCUACACACGUGCUACAAUGGUAGUGACAAUGCGCUGCAAACCCGCGAGGGGGAGCAAAUCGCCAAAAACUAUCUCAGUUCGGAUUGCAGG